AAACAUUUGACCUGGGUCUUCCAAACAUUUUGGCAAAGGAUUUGGUUGCCAGUGGAAAUGGAAUGCUAAAAGCUUUGGCAGUUGUUGCAGAAUAUAUGGAAAGGGAUUUUUCAUGUUGUCUGAAUAAAACACAACUACAAGAGAUCAGAGAAAUGCACCCUACCGUCUUUUAGCUUGUGCCCUUGUAUUACUUUUCUCUUUUUCAAAAGAUGUGUAAUGUUUUACUGUAUUAUGUUUCAUGUCAUUUUUAUAGGUAGGCAUUUUCAGUAGGAAAGCUACAGGUGUGCAUGCAGUUAUUCUGCUGUAUUUGUCCUCCUGUCUGAAGAGCUGUACAAGCACAGGAACUUCUUAAAAGUUGGCUAAUUCCUGUCUACAACAUAAGGAUUGGAAAACAACUUUUCCACUGUGAUACUUAUAAAAAUUAAUACUUUAAACUGCUUUUUAUAUACACUUCCUGUGUAUAAAUCAUUUUCUCUCAUAUCAUUUUCUGUUUUAAUAAAGGACAUCAGGCAGGCAGAGGAAGAACAUACGGCACGGAUUGCAUAUCGUGGGAGAAGAAAUAGUAAAAUUUUUAUUGGCCAAAAAAUCGGUGACGAAGAAAUCUUUAUCAAGUGCGUUCGUCUUGUAGUUGGACUCUAGGGCUUUAUUUCCGGCGAGGGAUAUUCUUGAUUCUGGUGUGAAGCUUGCUGUUAAAGAGCGAUGUACGCAAAAAGUGGUGGCCAAAACUGUCACGUACUGCGUUUACGCCAUCUGUGGAGCUUAACACGCGUAGCUCAAGUUGUUUUGCAGGCAUUACAAACUAGAGGCGCUGAUAACAGUUGACACCACCAGGUGGCCGUUGAAUCAUGAGACAACGCGGAAGGUAGUUAAUUAGAUUGGUUUCUGUGUUGUGAAACUUAGCAUUGGUUCCAUUAUGCACGUGUCGCACCUAGCCAGAAGAAAAAAUUCUGUCUCCAUUUCGCGCAAUUGGUGUUUCCACGAUGCACGUGUUGCAACCAUCUAGCAGAAAAUAGUUAUUGAAUUUCAUUGGCUUCAAUUUGAUGUCUGCAUUUGUAUUUGACAACUUCAACAGGAGAGAUUUAUGCCAGGAGAAUUCAAGCUGUUCAGGAAAACAGAGCCCAUUGUAAUUCCAGCUAUGGAGUCAUACAACUAUUUUGUUGGCAAUAACAAACAUGCUGCAUGUGUUUGGAUCAACCAUGGAAACUAAAUGCAACUUCUUUCACAGGUAUGACACUGAUUGUGAUGUUGAAGUUGUUAGUUGCUUCUGAUGGACCAAUUUUUCUUUCAUUUAUG
This is a long non-coding RNA of Daphnia carinata, 1293 nucleotides long. RefSeq lists it as uncharacterized. The record is from RefSeq and is a predicted model, not a curated record. The transcript is spliced from 5 exons. NCBI's taxonomy places the organism in Eukaryota, Metazoa, Arthropoda, Branchiopoda, Diplostraca, Daphniidae.